RNAcentral lists this transfer RNA (64 nucleotides) under Marmota monax (woodchuck). RNAcentral describes it as "tRNA.Ala". The record is from RNAcentral. Lineage: Eukaryota; Metazoa; Chordata; Mammalia; Rodentia; Sciuridae.
UGUAGCUUAGUGGUAGGAUGUGUGCCUAGCAUGCACAAGUCCAUGGGUUCAAUCCCCAGUAUAA